Molecule: long non-coding RNA, 1154 nt
Filed under: Mytilus galloprovincialis (Mediterranean mussel)
Lineage: Eukaryota; Metazoa; Mollusca; Bivalvia; Mytilida; Mytilidae
Source: RNAcentral
UGGUGAUCGAAGGCUAUUCAAAAAUCAAAUUUAAGUGGGAGCUAGAAAUGGAAAAGAAAGGAUUGCUUUAUCAAAUACAUGACCUCACCAAAUACACAAUUUAGAUUAGAAAUAUAACGUAUCAUUGUGUGAAGAUAUUUUGAACACCUUUAUCCUCAAUAUAUGGUGCCUUUGAAUUUUCCCAAGUGGUGGAUCCAGAAAUUUUCAUAAGUGGGAGCCCACUGACUGACCUAAGAGGGGGCCCGCUCCAGUCACGCUUCAGUUAUUCCCUAUAUAAGCAACCAAUAUUUUUCCAAAAAAGGGUGGCCCGGGCACCCUGACCGCCCCCCCCCCCAUAAUCCGCCUCUGCUCCCUCUUUUAAUGUCUAGAAAAGACCUAAAUUGAUUGAUUUUCUGAAGCCACAUACCCGACUACUUCCUUAAAACAAGGUUGAAAGAGCUUAUAUUAUUCCUUGUAAUAUUGAUUUAUGAGGGUCUGGGUUGGAGUCAUACAUUUCUGCAUUGAUUUUAGCCAUUUUUAUACGACCGCAAAAAUUUUAAUUUUUUGGUCGUAUAUUGCUAUCACGUUGGCGUCGUCGUCGUCUGAAUACUUUUAGUUUUCGCACUCUAACUUUAGUAAAAGUGAAUAGAAAUCAAUGAAAUUUUAACACAAGGUUUAUGACCACAAAAGGAAGGUUGGGAUUGAUUUUGGGAGUUUUGGUCCCAACAUUUUAGGAAUUAGGGGCCAAAAAGGGCCCAAAUAAGCAUUUUCUUGGUUUUCGCACUAUAACUUUAGUUUAAGUGAAUAGAAAUCUAUGAAAUUUUGACACAAGGUUUAUGACCACAAAAGGAAGGUUGGGAUUGAUUUUGGGAGUUUUGGUUCCAACAGUUUAGGAAUUAAGGGCCAAAAAAGGGCCCAAAUAAGCAUUAUUCUUGGUUUUCGCACAAUAACUUUAGUAUAAGUAAAUAGAAAUCAAUGAAAUUUAACACAAGGUUUAUGACCACAAAAGGAAGGUUCGGAUUGAUUUUUGGAGUUGAGGUCACAACAGUUUAUGAAUUAGGGGCCAAAAAGGGGCCCAAAUAAGCAUUAUUUUUGGUUUUUGCACCAUAACUUUAGUAUAAGUAAAUAGAAAUCUAUGAAAUUUAAACACAAGGUUUAUGACCAUAAAAGGAAGG